RNAcentral lists this ribosomal RNA (253 nucleotides) under uncultured bacterium. RNAcentral's name for it is "partial 16S ribosomal RNA". It matches the Rfam family "Bacterial small subunit ribosomal RNA", at positions 524 to 776 of the family's 1533-position model. The record is from RNAcentral.
UACGUAGGCAGCGAGCGUUGUUCGGAGUUACUGGGCGUAAAGGGUGCGCAGGCGGUGGAGCAAGUCUGUUGUGAAAUCUCCCGGCUUAACCGGGAGGGUGCGGCGGAAACUGUUCUGCUGGAGUGAGGGAGAGGCAAGCGGAAUUCCUGGUGUAGCGGUGAAAUGCGCAGAUAUCAGGAGGAACACCGGUGGCGAAGGCGGGUCUCUGGGCCGAUACUGACGCUGAGGAGCGAAAGCGUGGGGAGCGAAAAGG